Molecule: ribosomal RNA, 253 nt
Filed under: uncultured bacterium
Lineage: Bacteria
Description: partial 16S ribosomal RNA
Rfam family: Bacterial small subunit ribosomal RNA
Source: RNAcentral
GACGUAGGGCGCGAGCGUUGUCCGGAUUUCUUGGGCGUAAAGAGCUCGUAGGCGGCUUGUCGCGUCGUUCGUGAAAACCCACAGCUCAACUGUGGGCUUGCGGUCGAUACGGGCAGGCUGGAGUUCGGUAGGGGAGACUGGAAUUCCUGGUGUAGCGGUGAAAUGCGCAGAUAUCAGGAGGAACACCGGUGGCGAAGGCGGGUCUCUGGGCCGAUACUGACGCUGAGGAGCGAAAGCGUGGGGAGCGAACAGG